GGACUACAGGGGUAUCUAAUCCUGUUUGCUACCCACGCUUUCGCGCCUCAGCGUCAGUUAUGGUCCAGAAAGCCGUUUACACCACCGGUGUUCCUCCUGAUAUCUACGCAUUUCACCGCUACACCAGGAAUUCCACUUUCCUCUCCCACACUCUAGUCCCACAGUUUAUAGCGCACCCUCCCAGUUGAGCCGGGAGAUUUCACACCAUACUUAUGGAACCGCCUACGCACCCUUUACGCCCAGUAACUCCGAACAACGCUCGCUGCCUACGUAUUACCGCGGCGGCUGGCAC
This 292-nucleotide ribosomal RNA is filed under the name uncultured Acidobacteriota bacterium. RNAcentral's name for it is "uncultured Acidobacteria bacterium partial 16S ribosomal RNA". Lineage: Bacteria; Pseudomonadati; Acidobacteriota. The record is from RNAcentral.